This 67-nucleotide transfer RNA is filed under the name Sylvietta virens (Green crombec). Its description in RNAcentral is "tRNA-Cys". The record is from RNAcentral. Lineage: Eukaryota; Metazoa; Chordata; Aves; Passeriformes; Sylviidae.
AGCCCUGUAGUGAAAUUCAUGGUAAGUUGCAAGCUUAUCGAUGCAUGUUUGCUGCGUGCCGGGGUUU